UGGGGUGUCGCCAAGCGGUAAGGCAGCGGGUUUUGGUCUCGCCAUUCCUAGGUUCGAAUCCUAGCACCCCAGUCA
Molecule: transfer RNA, 75 nt
Filed under: Crocosphaera subtropica ATCC 51142
Lineage: Bacteria; Bacillati; Cyanobacteriota; Cyanophyceae; Chroococcales; Aphanothecaceae
Description: tRNA-Gln-TTG-1-1
Rfam family: tRNA
About the family: Transfer RNA (tRNA) molecules are approximately 80 nucleotides in length.
Source: RNAcentral